GAUAAACGCUAGCGGCAGGCUUAACACAUGCAAGUCGAGGGGCAGCAUAGAUUGUAGCAAUACAAUUGGUGGCGACCGGCGCACGGGUGCGUAACGCGAAUGCAACCUACCCGUCACAGGGGGAUAAUCCGGAGAAAUCUGGUCUAAUACCCCAUAACAUAUGGAUCGGCAUCGGUUCAUGUUGAAAUUUUCGGAGGUGACGGAUGGGCAUGCGUAGCAUUAGCUUGUUGGUGAGGUAACGGCUCACCAAGGCGACGAUGCUUAGGGGGACUGAGAGGUUUUCCCCCCACACUGGUACUGAGACACGGACCAGACUCCUACGGGAGGCAGCAGUGAGGAAUGUUGGUCAAUGGGCGCAAGCCUGAACCAGCCAUGCCGCGUGCAGGAUGACGGCUCUAUGAGUUGUAAACUGCUUUUGUACGAGGGUAAAGUGGGUUACGUGUAACCUUUUGAAAGUAUCGUACGAAUAAGGAUCGGUUAACUCCGUGCCAGCCGCCGCAGUAA
This 504-nucleotide ribosomal RNA is filed under the name uncultured bacterium. Its description in RNAcentral is "partial 16S ribosomal RNA". It matches the Rfam family "Bacterial small subunit ribosomal RNA", at positions 28 to 523 of the family's 1533-position model. The record is from RNAcentral.